This 298-nucleotide signal recognition particle RNA is filed under the name Saimiri boliviensis boliviensis (Bolivian squirrel monkey). RNAcentral describes it as "Metazoan signal recognition particle RNA (ENSSBOG00000007465.1)". It matches the Rfam family "Metazoan signal recognition particle RNA". Rfam says of the family: The signal recognition particle (SRP) is a universally conserved ribonucleoprotein. It is involved in the co-translational targeting of proteins to membranes. The record is from RNAcentral. Lineage: Eukaryota; Metazoa; Chordata; Mammalia; Primates; Cebidae.
GCUGGGUGUGGCGGCUCAUGCCUGUAGUCCCAGCUACUCAGGAGGCUGAGGUGGGAGGAUCGCUUGAGCCCAGGAGUUCUGGGCUAUGGUGCACUAUGCCGAUCGGGUGUCUGCACUAAGUUUGGCACCAACACGGUGACCUCUGGGAGUAGGGGGCCACCAGGUUACCUAAGGAGGAAUGAACCGGCCCAAGUCAGAAACAGAGUGGAUCACAACUCCUGUGCUGAUCAGUAGUGGGAUCACACCUGUGAAUAGCCACUGCACUCCAACCUGGGCAACAUAGUGAGACCCCAUCUCU